Long non-coding RNA from Leptopilina heterotoma, 347 nucleotides. RefSeq lists it as uncharacterized. The transcript is spliced from 3 exons. The record is from RefSeq and is a predicted model, not a curated record. Lineage: Eukaryota; Metazoa; Arthropoda; Insecta; Hymenoptera; Figitidae.
UUGGUGUUCCUUUUUUUGGAGAGACCUACCAAUACAGCAUCCUAGAACGUCGCCAGGAGUCGAGGUUCAACCGGGUGUCGACUACACAUCACCGUGGGGAAUUUAAAGACUUGCCCUUGGUUCCUCCAAGAAUGGGAUUUAGGGCUGUUUGGGGCGUCCUGAACCUGCUUUAUCGUCAACUCUACAGGCCCGGGGAAUGGGGAGUUCUGGGGGAUGCCCAGCGAGAAUGGAGUUUACGAUGGAAAAUCGACCUGCAGCCCUACUGGUUCAAAUGCUAAGGACCGCUAUCUUUCUUUAUCUAUUGUUCAUACAAUUAAAUUUUAUUUACUUAUUGAUUUAUAUAUAAA